CACGUAGGCGGCUUCUUAAGUCAGGGGUGAAAGCCUGGAGCUCAACUCCAGAACUGCCUUUGAUACUGAGGAGCUUGAGUCCGGGAGAGGUGAGUGGAACUGCGGGUGUAGAGGUGAAAUUCGUAGAUAUUCGCAAGAACACCAGUGGCGAAGGCGGCUCACUGGCCCGGUACUGACGCUGAGGUGCGAAAGCGUGGGAGCAAACA
This 206-nucleotide ribosomal RNA is filed under the name uncultured bacterium. RNAcentral's name for it is "partial 16S ribosomal RNA". It matches the Rfam family "Bacterial small subunit ribosomal RNA", at positions 568 to 774 of the family's 1533-position model. The record is from RNAcentral.